GAUGAACGCUGGCGGCGUGCUUAACACAUGCAAGUCGAACGAUGAAGCCCAGCUUGCUGGGUGGAUUAGUGGCGAACGGGUGAGUAACACGUGAGUAACCUGCCCUUAACUCUGGGAUAAGCCUGGGAAACUGGGUCUAUUACCGGAUAGGAGCGUCCACCGCAUGGGGGGUGUUGGGGAGAUUUAGCGGUUUUGGAUGGCCUCGCGGCCUAUCAGCUUGUUGGGGGAGUAAUGGUACACCAACGCGGCGACGGGUAGGCGGCAUGAGAGGGUGACCAGCGACCCGGGGACUGAGAGACGGCGCAGACGCCAACGGGGGGCAGCAGUCGGGAACAUUGUCCAAUGGGCGCAAGCCUGAUGCAGCGGUGCCGCGUGAGGGAUGACGGCCUUCUGGUUGUAAACCUCUGUCAGUAGGGAAGAAGCGGAAGUGACGGUACCUGCAGAAGAAGCACCGGCUAACUACGUG
RNAcentral lists this ribosomal RNA (466 nucleotides) under uncultured bacterium. RNAcentral describes it as "partial 16S ribosomal RNA". It matches the Rfam family "Bacterial small subunit ribosomal RNA", at positions 28 to 507 of the family's 1533-position model. The record is from RNAcentral.